GACGAACGCUGGCGGCGUGCUUAACACAUGCAAGUCGAACGGAAAGGCCUGCUUUCCCUUGUGGAUUGCGGGUACUCGAGUGGCUAACGGGUGAGUAACACGUGCGUGAUCUUCCCCCAACUUGGGUAUAAGCCUGGGAAACUGGGUCUAAUUCCCGAUAGGACUGCAGGGUGGUGCCUGUGGUGGAAAACGAUUUUCUAGUGGGUGGGGAUGAGCUCGCGGCCUAUCAGCUUGUUGGUGGGGUAAUGGCCUAGCGAGGCGGCCACGGUUAGCCGGCACGAGAGGGUGGACGGCGAGGGUGGGACGGCGCAAUGGGCCAGAGUCCCGGGGCAGGCAGCAGAGGGGAGUAGUGGAGGAUGGGCGUAAGCCUGAUGUAGCGACGCCGUGUGGGGGAUGACGGCGUUGGGGUUCUGACCUCCUGUCGAAAGCGAGGUAGCCACCUGGUUGGGAGGGCGGUGACGGUAGUGGGAGAAGAAGCACCGGCUAACUACGUG
This 494-nucleotide ribosomal RNA is filed under the name uncultured bacterium. Its description in RNAcentral is "partial 16S ribosomal RNA". It matches the Rfam family "Bacterial small subunit ribosomal RNA", at positions 28 to 507 of the family's 1533-position model. The record is from RNAcentral.